Molecule: ribosomal RNA, 53 nt
Filed under: Suberites ficus
Lineage: Eukaryota; Metazoa; Porifera; Demospongiae; Suberitida; Suberitidae
Source: RNAcentral
AACUGAACCUCAGAUCAGGCGAGAUUACCCGCUGAAUUUAAGCAUAUCAAUAA